RNAcentral lists this long non-coding RNA (889 nucleotides) under Homo sapiens (human). RNAcentral describes it as "HSALNT0252891". The record is from RNAcentral. Lineage: Eukaryota; Metazoa; Chordata; Mammalia; Primates; Hominidae.
UGCAAUCAUCGUGACUCAGCAAGGACUGUCUGUCAGGCGAUGGCCAGCGUUAAAGAGCCGGGCAUGGCGGCAGUGAGGAGAUGGUGAAGGCUGCUCUUCCUCAAUUACAUAGGAGCAUGGAAUACGUACUCUUACCCACAUCCCAUCAACAGGAGUCAUGUCUUCUCCAUUUCUGUCUCCACCAUGUCUCUCAAUAUAGUGGUUUCUAAUGAAUUUUCUCCUAUAAUUUGGUGAGUAACAUAGAGCCAUGGGAGGUAUCAUUUAUCAUUUGCUUCAGAAAAGCUUCAUCCAAAUCAAAUAAUUGGUAUUAUAACUUCAUUGGAAAAUUCAUUUUCACAAAAUUGGACAGCUUUUACCAUUUUUUAUCCCGACAACUUUGUUAAUGGUUUUUCUGAACAGAUAUAAUGAUGUCAAUAUUUUUAAGAAACUAUUAUCCAUGGAAGGGAAAAUGCCAUAAUAAAUAAGACCUUAAGAUGGCACCAAGAUAAUGAAAUAAAGCAUUACCAAAUGGAACCAUUGCUUGCAUAAUAUAUGUCAUAUUAUUAAGUCUUAAAACAGAAAUAUAGAAAAACCUAGGAAACUAAAGGAGUUUACAUAAAAUCUGGAAAGAUCUAACUAGAAAUGAUUAGUUUUAUAACAAAUAUUUAAGGUUUAUAAUCAGACGGGUUACUUGAAAAAACUUCCCAAAGGAGGCUAAAAUACAACUCAUUGCAUUACAGUUCCUUGAGCUUCACUUUGUAGAUGUUGUAAACAUAAAAAUUAAAAGUUUAUGUAGUGUUUUUUCUUCCAAGAAUACUUGAUCAAUGCCACAUUAAUUUUGAGGACACCAAAUGUCAGUGUUAACUACUUUCUUUCUUAAAGUGUGUAUAUGUUGUAUGUUAAAUAAGUG